AUGGAGCAGUACGUCGCCCUCUUAACCUACCUACAACGGUUCGCAGAUUCGGUUUCCGCGGUGAGCUGCGACGCGGAGGCGACGGGGGAUGGCGGCAGCGAUGUCUGCCGCAACGAGGCGGCCGCGCUGCAGCUCAAGAUGGUCGCCGUCGCCGCUAUCCUUGUCUCGAGCGCCGCCGGCGUCGCCAUCCCGCUCGUCGGCCACAGGUGGCGUGGCGCGGUUCGAGCCGGUGAGGGCGGGUGGGCGUUCGUGCUCGCCAAGGCGUUCGCGGCGGGGGUGGUCCUGGGCACGGGGUACGUGCACAUGAUGCACGACGCGGAGGAGAAAUUCUUGGACCCGUGCCUCCCGGACUCGUCCCCGUGGCAGCAGUUCCCCUUCGCGGGCUCUGUCGCCAUGCUCGCCAGCCUCGUCACACUCGUGGUCGACUUCAUCGGCACACAGUUUUACGAGCGUAAGCAGCGCGAUAAGGCCGGUGCCGCCUCCGCCACAACGAGCGCCCAAGAUGAGACGGGGUCGCCAUUGCUGCAGGACGGGAGGACUACAGGGGGCCAGAAGUGUGAGGCCACCCUUGGGCACAGCCAUGCGCACGUCUACGAAGGAGUGGUGCGCAACGGCCAUGGCCACGAGAACGAGGAGGGCCCGUCCCAAGCUCGUCAAGUGGUGGUUUCACAGGUACGAACACAGUGGUUGCCUUGCCCCUCCUGUCAAGCUCAAGCAUAA
RNAcentral lists this ribosomal RNA (720 nucleotides) under Triticum aestivum (bread wheat). RNAcentral's name for it is "partial small subunit ribosomal RNA". Lineage: Eukaryota; Viridiplantae; Streptophyta; Magnoliopsida; Poales; Poaceae. The record is from RNAcentral.